RNAcentral lists this ribosomal RNA (558 nucleotides) under uncultured archaeon. Its description in RNAcentral is "bacterial SSU rRNA". It matches the Rfam family "Archaeal small subunit ribosomal RNA", at positions 321 to 879 of the family's 1478-position model. The record is from RNAcentral.
CCCUACGGGGUGCAGCAGGCGCGAAACCUUUACAAUGUGCGAAAGCAUGAUAAGGGAACUCCGAGUGCCAGUAUCUAAUACUGGCUGUCCUUGUGCCUAAAACGCACAAGAUAGCAAGGGCCGGGUAAGACCGGUGCCAGCCGCCGCGGUAACACCGGCGGCCCGAGUGGUAGCCGCUAUUAUUGGGUCUAAAGGGUCCGUAGCCGGUUCGAUAAGUCCUCUGGGAAAUCUGGUUGCUUAACAAUCAGACUGCCAAGGGAUACUGUCGAACUUGAGACCGGGAGAGGUAAGAGGUACUUCAGGGGUAGGAGUGAAAUCUUGUAAUCCCUGGGGGACCAUCUGUGGCGAAGGCGCCCUACGAGAACGGGUCCGACGGUGAGGGACGAAAGCUAGGGGAGCAAACCGGAUUAGAUACCCGGGUAGUCCUAGCUGUAAACGAUGCUCGCUAGGUGUCAGGCACGGUGCGUCCGUGUCUGGUGCCGCAGGGAAGCCGUUAAGCGAGCCACCUGGGGAGUACGGUCGCAAGGCUGAAACUUAAAGGAAUUGGCGGGGGAGCAC